This 445-nucleotide ribosomal RNA is filed under the name uncultured Sphingobacteriales bacterium. RNAcentral describes it as "bacterial SSU rRNA". It matches the Rfam family "Bacterial small subunit ribosomal RNA", at positions 938 to 1382 of the family's 1533-position model. Lineage: Bacteria; Pseudomonadati; Bacteroidota; Sphingobacteriia; Sphingobacteriales. The record is from RNAcentral.
CAUGUGGUUUAAUUCGUAUGAUACGCGAGGAACCUACCUGGGCUCGAACGUAAGAUGACUGUAGGUGAAAGCUUACAUCUCUUCGGAGCAUUUUACGUAGGUGCUGCAUGGUUGUCGUCAGCUCGUGCCGUGAGGUGUCGGGUUAAGUCCCAUAACGAGCGCAACCCCUACCUUUAGUUGCCAUCAGGUUAAGCUGGGGACUCUAAAGGAACUGCCUACGCAAGUAGUGAGGAAGGCGGGGAUGACGUCAAAUCAGCACGGCCCUUACGUCCAGGGCUACACACGUGCUACAAUGGCCGAUACAGAGGGCAGCUACCUGGUGACAGGAUGCAAAUCUCCAAAGUCGGUCUCAGUUCGGAUCGGAGUCUGCAACCCGACUCCGUGAAGUUGGAUUCGCUAGUAAUCGCGCAUCAGCCAUGGCGCGGUGAAUACGUUCCCGGGCCUU